Helianthus annuus (common sunflower) is the source of this 1097-nucleotide long non-coding RNA. RefSeq lists it as uncharacterized. Lineage: Eukaryota; Viridiplantae; Streptophyta; Magnoliopsida; Asterales; Asteraceae. The record is from RefSeq and is a predicted model, not a curated record. The transcript has 2 exons.
CACACCACCAAACCAAUACCCGAUCCACCAUCUACCACCAUUAUCUUCCAACCUGAACCCACCUCCGAUACACCAAUAAACACCGUCACACUGGCAACUACCUCCAUCUGCUUUCUUCCAAUCUGCAAAUUCUAAAGCAUACAAAAACACUCCCAGCAAACUUCAUCUCUAUGUGCACAAUCCACACACAUAACUUCAAUUUCCUCAAUCUUGUCCUCUAUCCUCUUUGUUCUUUCAAUUCGCAUGCAAAUGACACUUGUUUCAGUUCAAAAUUGAACAACUAGGGCAGAAUAUGAAUAAUUAACGGUUAUUACGACCUCGAUCGAUUGGUUGAUUUUGGUUCAAGAAUUGGGGCUGUAGACUGUAGUAAUUCAAUAUAUUGCAUAUUGCUUGAAGGAAGAGGGAAGAAAUAGAGUGAAAAGACUAAUACUGAUUGUUAACAGGAAACUUGAAUUCAUUUUGUGAAUGCUCAAUGAUAUGUAGUUUAAGGUGUAGCUUAGAUGAAUCAGGAGAUGAUCACACUUGUCUAUUCAUUGCUUCAGUAUGUAUUAUGCAGUAUUGCAAUUGUUAGGGUUUAUGCAAUUAUGUGUCUGUCUAUAAGACUUCAAUAUCUGCUGCUAAUUCUGAGCUAAGCAUGUGAAAGUUCGAAUUCGUGUUAAUGUCUUUUCCAUCAUUUACCAAUAGCAAGAUAUCCUUCAUUUUAGUAUUCCACAUGAAGUGCAGGGCAUAUUAUGGCAACAAAAUCUAUGUUGAUUACUUUUUGGUGAGGAGUAUUGAAGAGGGGUUUGAAGGCUCAUGGCAUUCAGCAACGGUGAAGAGGGGCUAUACGGUUUUACAAUGGCUGCAGAUUACUGAUCUACACAUGUUCUUUCUGUUAUCAAAUCUACACGGUUUUACAAUGGCUGCAGACAAAUCUGGUGGUCACCUUCUGUGACGUUUAAAUGGCUGAAGUUCUACUUGCUGCAUUUCAGUUUGUGAUCUUGAGUUAAUUUGAGGUGUAGUAAAUUGAAUUUGGCAUUUUUUUCUUGUUUUUGGUGUAAAACCAUUACAAUGGUAAUUAACAGUAAUUUGAGGUGUAAUAAUUCUUAUGAAGAUUA